GGCUGUGGCUCCGUGGUAGAACACUCACCUACCAUGUGCGAGGCCCUGGGAUCGAUCCUCAGCACCA
RNAcentral lists this transfer RNA (67 nucleotides) under Marmota monax (woodchuck). RNAcentral's name for it is "tRNA.Gly". Lineage: Eukaryota; Metazoa; Chordata; Mammalia; Rodentia; Sciuridae. The record is from RNAcentral.